Molecule: ribosomal RNA, 492 nt
Filed under: uncultured bacterium
Lineage: Bacteria
Description: partial 16S ribosomal RNA
Rfam family: Bacterial small subunit ribosomal RNA
Source: RNAcentral
AGUGAACGCUGGCGGUAGGCCUAACACAUGCAAGUCGAACGGCAGCACAGUAAGAGCUUGCUCUUACGGGUGGCGAGUGGCGGACGGGUGAGGAAUACAUCGGAAUCUACUUUUUCGUGGGGGAUCACGUAGGGAAACUUACGCUAAUACCGCAUACGACCUACGGGUGAAAGCAGGGGAUCUUCGGACCUUGCGCGAUUGAAUGAGCCGAUGUCGGAUUAGCUAGUUGGCGGGGUAAAGGCCCACCAAGGCGACGAUCCGUAGCUGGUCUGAGAGGAUGAUCAGCCACACUGGAACUGAGACACGGUACAGACUCCUACGGGAGGCAGCAGUGGGGAAUAUUGGACAAUGGGCGCAAGCCUGAUCCAGCCAUACCGCGUGGGUGAAGAAGGCCUUCGGGUUGUAAAGCCCUUUUGUUGGGAAAGAAAAGCAGCAGGUUAAUACCCCGCUGUUCUGACGGUACCCAAAGAAUAAGCACCGGCUAACUUCGUG